Molecule: ribosomal RNA, 253 nt
Filed under: uncultured bacterium
Lineage: Bacteria
Description: partial 16S ribosomal RNA
Rfam family: Bacterial small subunit ribosomal RNA
Source: RNAcentral
UACGGAGGGUGCAAGCGUUAUCCGGAUUCACUGGGUUUAAAGGGUGCGUAGGUGGGCAGGUAAGUCAGUGGUGAAAUCUCCGGGCUUAACUCGGAAACUGCCAUUGAUACUAUUUGUCUUGAAUACUGUGGAGGUCAGCGGAAUAUGUCAUGUAGCGGUGAAAUGCUUAGAUAUGACAUAGAACACCAAUUGCGAAGGCAGCUGGCUACACAAAUAUUGACACUGAGGCACGAAAGCGUGGGGAUCAAACAGG